This 265-nucleotide ribosomal RNA is filed under the name uncultured Staphylococcus sp. RNAcentral describes it as "partial 16S ribosomal RNA". It matches the Rfam family "Bacterial small subunit ribosomal RNA", at positions 96 to 354 of the family's 1533-position model. Lineage: Bacteria; Bacillati; Bacillota; Bacilli; Caryophanales; Staphylococcaceae. The record is from RNAcentral.
CGGCGGACGGGUGAGUAACACGUGGAUAACCUACCUAUAAGACUGGGAUAACUUCGGGAAACGGAGCUAAUACCGGAUAAUAUAUUGAACCGCAUGGUUCAAUAGUGAAAGACGGUUUUGCUGUCACUUAUAGAUGGAUCCGCGCCGCAUUAGCUAGUUGGUAAGGUAACGGCUUACCAAGGCAACGAUGCGUAGCCGACCUGAGAGGGUGAUCGGCCACACUGGAACUGAGACACGGUCCAGACUCCUACGGGAGGCAGCAGGG